This 725-nucleotide long non-coding RNA is filed under the name Cricetulus griseus (Chinese hamster). RNAcentral's name for it is "lncRNA (ENSCGRG00015031864.1)". The record is from RNAcentral. Lineage: Eukaryota; Metazoa; Chordata; Mammalia; Rodentia; Cricetidae.
CCUCCCUUUCCGGUAGCUGGGAACACACUAGUGUCACCACUCAGGCAUCUCCUUUGCCUUUGUUCACCAUAACUCUAAAAAUUUCUAUGUUGGGGCCUGGGCCAUCGCUCAACUGUCAGCUUGCUCACCUAGCAUGCAUGAGGCACUGGAUUCAAGCCUCGAACCACAUCCUGCAGCACCAGAGCUUCAGGUCCAAAGCACUGGUAUCAUCUCUGACUCAGGGCCAUGUUAGUCCUAGCCCCAGGAGCAACCCCAAGCAACAAGGCAGAAAACAGUGAAGAACCUCGUAUCCUUGCCCUUGCGCCUGGGUGUGUUCUGUGGAAUCUCUCAUGCAUGUAUGUCUGUGUGAGGGUGUCAGAAGAACUGGAACUAGAGCUGCAGAAAGUUAAUGAAAGGCAAUCCUGGCUCCACCAAACCUCAGACUGCUGCCUCUCAUCAGCAUGGCUGGAGAAUCCUGAGACUACAAUGCCUUCCUAUCCUCAAUGUGGCUAGAGUAUGAGACCCUGUUCCUGUCUUAAAUACCUCUCAUGAGUGUGAUUCCCAAGUGCUGAAAUCAUCUUUGUGUGAGCUGUUUCUCUUUAGGACUGGAUCAAUUUCAUGUUGUCAGUGUGGCCUUGAACUAACAGAGAUCCAUCUACCUCUUAAUCCUGAGUCCUGGGAUUAAAAGUGUGUACCACCACUGCCUGAUCUCUAUAGCUUGAGGCUAACUAUGCUUUCUGAAUCCU